Molecule: ribosomal RNA, 614 nt
Filed under: Penicillium sp. JCM 28513
Lineage: Eukaryota; Fungi; Ascomycota; Eurotiomycetes; Eurotiales; Aspergillaceae
Description: eukaryotic LSU rRNA
Rfam family: Eukaryotic large subunit ribosomal RNA
Source: RNAcentral
GCAUAUCAAUAAGCGGAGGAAAAGAAACCAACAGGGAUUGCCCCAGUAACGGCGAGUGAAGCGGCAAGAGCUCAAAUUUGAAAGCUGGCUCCUUCGGGGUCCGCAUUGUAAUUUGCAGAGGAUGCUUCGGGAGCGGUCCCCAUCUAAGUGCCCUGGAACGGGCUGUCAUAGAGGGUGAGAAUCCCGUAUGGGAUGGGGUGUCCGCGCCCGUGUGAAGCUCCUUCGACGAGUCGAGUUGUUUGGGAAUGCAGCUCUAAAUGGGUGGUAAAUUUCAUCUAAAGCUAAAUAUUGGCCGGAGACCGAUAGCGCACAAGUAGAGUGAUCGAAAGAUGAAAAGCACUUUGAAAAGAGAGUUAAAAAGCACGUGAAAUUGUUGAAAGGGAAGCGUUUGCGACCAGACUCGCCUACGGGGUUCAGCCUGCCUUCGGGCAGGUGUACUUCCCCGUGGGCGGGCCAGCGUCGGUUUGGGCGGCCGGUCAAAGGCCCUCGGAAUGUAACGCCUCUCGGGGCGUCUUAUAGCCGAGGGUGCCAUGCGGCCUGCCCGGACCGAGGAACGCGCUUCGGCUCGGACGCUGGCUUAAUGGUCGUAAACGACCCGUCUUGAAACACGGACC